UUGAAGAGUUUGAUCAUGGCUCAGAUUGAACGCUGGCGGCAGGCCUAACACAUGCAAGUCGAACGGUAACAGGAAGCAGCUUGCUGCUUCGCUGACGAGUGGCGGACGGGUGAGUAAUGUCUGGGAAACUGCCUGAUGGAGGGGGAUAACUACUGGAAACGGUGGCUAAUACCGCAUAACGUCGCAAGACCAAAGAGGGGGACCUUCGGGCCUCUUGCCAUCAGAUGUGCCCAGAUGGGAUUAGCUUGUUGGUGAGGUAACGGCUCACCAAGGCGACGA
RNAcentral lists this ribosomal RNA (279 nucleotides) under Salmonella enterica subsp. enterica serovar Typhimurium. RNAcentral describes it as "partial 16S ribosomal RNA". It matches the Rfam family "Bacterial small subunit ribosomal RNA", at positions 1 to 279 of the family's 1533-position model. Lineage: Bacteria; Pseudomonadati; Pseudomonadota; Gammaproteobacteria; Enterobacterales; Enterobacteriaceae. The record is from RNAcentral.